UUUUUAUACCAUUUUUAUAAGUAAUAUCUGCUCAAUGAUAUUUAAAUAGCCGCAGAAUUUUAACUGUGCUAAGGUAGCAUAAUCAUUUACCUUUUAAUUGAAGGCCUGUAUGAAAGAUUUUACAUUUAAAUUAUUUUUUUGCUAAAUUAAAUUUAAAUUUUACUAAAAAUAAAAAUAUUUUUAUAAAUAAAAAAGACGACAAGACCCUAUUGAACUUUACUUCAGUUAAGCUGGGGAAGCUACUUAAAUAUUAUUUUAAUAAUAUAACUUAAAUAAAUUUCUGGAAACCCAAUUUGAACAAGUUACCAUAGGGAUAACAGCGUAAUAAUUUUUUAAAGUUCUUAUUAAAAAAAAAAGGUUACGACCUCGAUGUUGAAUUAAAUUUACUUUAAAACGCAAUAGUAUUAAAAGCAGGUCUGUUCGACCUUUAAAUUUUUACAU
Molecule: ribosomal RNA, 441 nt
Filed under: Fusciphantes hibanus
Lineage: Eukaryota; Metazoa; Arthropoda; Arachnida; Araneae; Linyphiidae
Description: partial 16S ribosomal RNA
Source: RNAcentral